Molecule: ribosomal RNA, 385 nt
Filed under: Homoeoxipha cf. lycoides ICCM-2015
Lineage: Eukaryota; Metazoa; Arthropoda; Insecta; Orthoptera; Trigonidiidae
Description: partial 12S ribosomal RNA
Source: RNAcentral
UAUUAUAUAAUAAUUAAAAAUAAAUCUUGAAUAUUAAUAGUUAUGAUCUUUAAACUUAAAGAAUUUGACGGUAUUUUAUCCUUUUAGAGGAAUCUGUUCUGUAAUUGAUAAUACACGAAUUUAAAUACUUAAUUUUGUUUAGCUUGUAUAUCAUUGUCAAAAAAUUAUUUUUAGAAAAUUUAUUUUUGGGAAAAAUUAUUAUUUAUUAUGUCAAAUCAUGAUGCAGUUUAUAAUUAAGAUAGAAAUGGAUUACAAUUUUAGAGUAAGCGGAUAUAUUUUUUAAUGGAAUAAUUGAAGGUGGAUUUAAAUGUAAAUUUAUUUAUUGUUAAGUUGAUAAAGGUUCUAAAAUAUGUACAUAUCGCCCGUCGCUCUCAUUUAACAUGGG